CAGACUGUAUUACCCUGCAAAGAGAUGCGAGCAUACAACUGUUCAUAAAGGUUGUCUUAUUGUAGUGGGUCCCACAGAGUCUGAUAUUAUGUGAUAAAACUAUAAUAAUUCAUGUAGAAGCCAGACUAUCUACAACAGCUAGCGAAGAAAUGGAAAAUGGAUACCACAAAAUGCUGCUGGAAAAUCCCAAAAUAAUUAAUGCAGAUGUCAACAGAAAAAAAAAUUCCCAGGGAGAGUCAUCGUGUCUGGAAAAAGACAUAAAAAACUGGCAAACCCUUUCUACAAAGGAUAUGAGGGUACCUAUUUAGG
Molecule: long non-coding RNA, 309 nt
Organism: Lepidothrix coronata (blue-crowned manakin)
Lineage: Eukaryota; Metazoa; Chordata; Aves; Passeriformes; Pipridae
Exons: 3
Source: RefSeq, a predicted model, not a curated record